Molecule: ribosomal RNA, 492 nt
Filed under: uncultured bacterium
Lineage: Bacteria
Description: bacterial SSU rRNA
Rfam family: Bacterial small subunit ribosomal RNA
Source: RNAcentral
GCCCAGAGUUUGAUCCUGGCUCAGGAUGAACGCUGGCGGCGUGCCUAACACAUGCAAGUCGAGCGGAGUUUAUGUAAAGGAAGCCUUCGGGUGGAAAGUAUAUCAACUUAGCGGCGGACGGGUGAGUAACGCGUGGGCAACCAACCUUGAUCAGGGGGACAACAUUGGGAAACCAGUGCUAAUACCGCAUAGCUCUGUUUUAUGGCAUCAUGAAGCAGAGAAAGAUUUAUCGGAUCAAGACGGGCCCGCGUCUGAUUAGCUAGUUGGUGGGGUAACGGCCUACCAAGGCGAUGAUCAGUAGCCCGACCUGAGAGGGUGACCGGCCACACUGGAACUGAGACACGGUCCAGACUCCUACGGGAGCAGCAGUGGGGAAUAUUGGACAAUGGGGGGCAACCCUGAUCCAGCCAUGCCGCGUGAGUGAUGAAGGCCUUCGGUCGUAAAGCUCUGUCCUAUGGGAAGAAGAAAGUGACGGUACCAUAGGAGGAAGCC